Molecule: non-coding RNA, 125 nt
Organism: Triticum aestivum (bread wheat)
Lineage: Eukaryota; Viridiplantae; Streptophyta; Magnoliopsida; Poales; Poaceae
Source: Rfam
UUUGUACUCCCUCCGUCCGGAAAUACUUGUCGGAGAAAUGGAUGAAAAUGAAUGUAUCUAAAAUUAAAUUACGUCUAGAUACAUCCAUUCCUCCGACAAGUAUUUUCGGACGGAGGGAGUACUAA